Molecule: ribosomal RNA, 481 nt
Filed under: uncultured bacterium
Lineage: Bacteria
Description: bacterial SSU rRNA
Rfam family: Bacterial small subunit ribosomal RNA
Source: RNAcentral
GAUGAACGCUGGCGGCGUGCUUAACACAUGCAAGUCGAACGAAGCACCUUGACUUCUUCGGAAUGAUUGGUGACUGAGUGGCGGACGGGUGAGUAACGCGUGGGUAACCUGCCUCACACAGGGGGAUAACAGUUAGAAAUGACUGCUAAUACCGCAUAAGACCACAGUACCGCAUGGUACAGUGAUAAAAACUCCGGUGGUGUGAGAUGGACCCGCGUCUGAUUAGCUAGUUGGUGAGGUAACGGCCCACCAAGGCGACGAUCAGUAGCCGACCUGAGAGGGUGACCGGCCACAUUGGGACUGAGACACGGCCCAAACUCCUACGGGAGGCAGCAGUGGGAAUAUUGCACAAUGGGGGAAACCCUGAUGCAGCGACGCCGCGUGAGUGAAGAAGUAUUUCGGGUAUGUAAAGCUCUAUCAGCAGGGAANAAAAUGACGGUACCUGACUAAGAGCACCGGCUAAAUACCGUGCCAGCAGCCG